This 482-nucleotide ribosomal RNA is filed under the name uncultured bacterium. RNAcentral's name for it is "partial 16S ribosomal RNA". It matches the Rfam family "Bacterial small subunit ribosomal RNA", at positions 30 to 507 of the family's 1533-position model. The record is from RNAcentral.
AUUGAACGCUGGCGGCAUGCCUUACACAUGCAAGUCGAACGGUAACGGGCCUUCGGGUGCCGACGAGUGGCGAACGGGUGAGUAAUACAUCGGAACGUGCCCGAUCGUGGGGGAUAACGAGGCGAAAGCUUUGCUAAUACCGCAUACGAUCUACGGAUGAAAGCAGGGGACCGCAAGGCCUUGCGCGGACGGAGCGGCCGAUGGCAGAUUAGGUAGUUGGUGGGAUAAAAGCUUACCAAGCCGACGAUCUGUAGCUGGUCUGGGAGGAUGAUCAGCCACACUGGGACUGAGACACGGCCCCGACUCCCACGGGAGGCCACAGUUGGGAAUUUUGGACAAUGGGCGGAAGGCUGAUCCAGCCAUGCCGCGUGCAGGAUGAAGGCCUUCGGGUUGUAAACUGCUUUUGUACGGAACGAAAAGCCUUCUUUUAAUACAGGAGGGUCAUGACGGUACCGUAAGAAUAAGCACCGGCUAACUACGUG